RNAcentral lists this microRNA precursor (85 nucleotides) under Bombyx mori (domestic silkworm). Its description in RNAcentral is "mir-2807 microRNA precursor family". It matches the Rfam family "mir-2807 microRNA precursor family". Lineage: Eukaryota; Metazoa; Arthropoda; Insecta; Lepidoptera; Bombycidae. The record is from Rfam by way of RNAcentral.
UUAACUAAAAUUUGUAGGGAGUUGGAACGUUCACCUACGAUUGCCUGUUAGCGGCGUUGUUAGAUCUGCAUACAAAUUUGAGUUA